RNAcentral lists this ribosomal RNA (377 nucleotides) under uncultured bacterium. RNAcentral describes it as "bacterial SSU rRNA". It matches the Rfam family "Bacterial small subunit ribosomal RNA", at positions 521 to 896 of the family's 1533-position model. The record is from RNAcentral.
UAAUACGGAGGGUGCAAGCGUUAAUCGGAAUUACUGGGCGUAAAGCGCGCGUAGGCGGUUUGUUAAGUCAGAUGUGAAAUCCCCGGGCUCAACCUGGGAAUGGCAUUUGAGACUGGCAGGCUAGAGUAUGGUAGAGGUGAGUGGAAUUUCAGGUGUAGCGGUGAAAUGCGUAGAGAUCUGAAGGAACAUCAGUGGCGAAGGCGACUCACUGGGCCAUUACUGACGCUGAGGUGCGAAAGCGUGGGUAGCAAACAGGAUUAGAUACCCUGGUAGUCCACGCCCUAAACGAUGUCAACUAGGUGUAUGGAGAAUUUAUUCUUUGUGUAUCGAAGCUAACGCGAUAAGUUGACCGCCUGGGGAGUACGGUCGCAAGACUA